GGGGACCAACAAAUGACAGGGAAAAAAAAAACAACAACAACAACAAAGGCCAGAUUUUUAAGUUAAUUUGAACUGAUUUUGUUUUGAUAUUUGAUUUUAUUACAGUGCUCGCUAGCCUAGAAACCCGGGUUUUGUUUAGUCUAAAGAGCUCCCAUGGUUGCAGAGCCAUGGGGGCCAAGGCCAAGAGCUGUGCCACGGACAGGACGAGGUAUUUGUGUUUGAGCCAUACCCUUAUGAAUCCUUUUCUUGCAUUUUACUGUGUUUGUUAACAAUCACUAAGCAUGCAGAAGUACUUCAUAUCUUGGAAAAAGGAAGCUUCAGUUGGAAAUCCAGAGCCCUGAGCCUUCUCAUCGUGGUAUCACAGAUGCAGUACCCAUCCCUGAGAUUCCUGGAGGUACUAAAAUCUCCGAUGAGAUCACAAGUCCAGCAGCACAGCUGUGUAGAUUUAGUGUGAGCGCUGCGAGGGAGCCCAGGAGGGCAUAUCUAUAUCUGAGUGUGUGUCUGCUCAUCACGGUGUGAGGAAACCAGUAGGCGCAAUGCUACACCCCAGGAGCACCAACCCCAGUGACAGCCUGACAGCAUCAUCGCCACAGACAUACAGCCUACAGUUCAAAGCUGCAUUGUUUUUUUUCCCAGCGAGCUCAGUGGCUUCAAUGCUUGAGCAACGCAUCUCUUCGAACCUUGCCUGGCUCCCGUCCUCAGAUCAUCCCCGCUUGCAGAAAGCUAAAUCACAACCAGUUACUCAUCGUGACCGAGGGAGCAGCUCACAUUUGCUGAGGCACUGCAGCAAAUGGACGGAGCGCAGACUAACCCAAACAUUUCCAUUAUUAGAGCACACCAGCCAGGGUUCCACGGGACGGGAGUAAAACCACGCCGGAGCGCCUCAAACAGAUUGCAUGUGAUCUCCUAUCAUCUUAUAGAUGUAUUUUCUCCAUUCUCUGGUUUCAUCGCGGUCUCGCUGCCCCAGCGGAGGGAUUUUGCUGAAUGACUGGCCUUCUGUUUUCCUCGGUUCCAGAAACCAAUGGGGAAAUCUGAAGCAAGGAAGACUUAUCCUUGAUGGAGGAGGACCUGGAUAGGGAAUAUUUAAGCAAACCAGAUCUACAUAAAGCUAUGGGCCUGGACGGCAGGCACACACAUAUGCUGAAGGAGUUGAUGUUGUUGUUGUUGCUGCAAGUCCACUCUUGGUAAUCUUGGAAAAAUCAUGGGGGUAAUAUCCUGAGGACUGUAAAAGAAGAGGUAUUACUGCAAAAAGAACAAUACAGGGAAUUGUCAGCUCAAUCCCUGGGAACGUGAUCAAGAAAGUUUGGGGAAAUUAUUUCUAAGCACAUUAAGAACAGAAUGGUGAUUGAGAGAAGUCAGAAUGGACUUAAAAAGGGGAAAGCAUGUUCAGCCAAACUGGUGGCCCUCUACAAAGUAACUAUCUCCGUGGAUGAAGAGAAAAU
Molecule: long non-coding RNA, 1442 nt
Organism: Gallus gallus (chicken)
Lineage: Eukaryota; Metazoa; Chordata; Aves; Galliformes; Phasianidae
Source: Ensembl